RNAcentral lists this ribosomal RNA (466 nucleotides) under uncultured bacterium. RNAcentral describes it as "bacterial SSU rRNA". It matches the Rfam family "Bacterial small subunit ribosomal RNA", at positions 917 to 1382 of the family's 1533-position model. The record is from RNAcentral.
GGGCCCGCACAAGCGGUGGAUCAUGUGGUUUAAUUCGAAGCAACGCGAAGAACCUUACCUGGGUUUGACAUCCUCUGACAGCUGUAGAGAUACAGUCUUUGUAGCAAUACAACAGAGAGACAGGUGCUGCAUGGCUGUCGUCAGCUCGUGUGGUGACAUGUUGGGUUAAGUCCCGCAACGAGCGCAACCCCUGAUCUUAGUUGCCAGCAUUAAGUUGGGCACUCUAAGGUGACUGCCGUGGUUAACACGGAGGAAGGUGGGGAUGACGUCAAGUCCUCAUGGCCCUUAUAUCCAGGGCGACACACGUGAUACAAUGGUCGGUACAGAGGGAAGCGAAGUGGUGACACGGAGCCAAUCUCAAAAAGCCGAUCUCAGUUCGGAUUGGAGUCUGCAAUUCGACUCCAUGAAGUUGGAAUCGCUAGUAAUCGCGGAUCAGCACGCCGCGGUGAAUACGUUCCCGGGCCUU